UAUGUUUGAUGCAGUAGUGGAUAGGAUUGGACUGUAUAAUGACAAGAUUUUUUAGCUUAUUUUCCUUCCAUUAUACCGUCCAAUGAAUCUCUCCACCAAACAUGCUAUAAGUAAAAUAUAUCCAUUAGCAAUGGUCUGAUGACAAGGAUGUACUCGUGCGUGUUUUUGCAUGCUUAAUCUGUUAACUUGAUCAGACUCGAGCUUUGUACCUCCCUUGGUCUAUGCCUUUAUGGGCAGUUCGAGAGAUAUAGCCAUAGGGCCGGUUGCUGUGGUGUCUCUACUGCUUGGGACUCUACUGCAGAACGAGAUUGAUCCCAUCAAAAAUGCUGUUGAAUAUCGUAGACUUGCAUUCACAGCUACUUUCUUUGCUGGCAUCACUCAAGCUAUCCUUGGCAUUCUUAGGUAAUUGAGUUUAAUUGCAGUCAAAUUAGUGAAUUUCUGCUAAAUUUUCUUCUUUUCGAUAUUAUCCUAGCAGUUUUUUAGUCUUUUACUUUGAUCUAAUUUUGGAUUUACGUGCAGAUUGGGUUUCUUAAUCGACUUCCUAUCUCACGCUGCUGUUGUUGGAUUCAUGGGAGGUGCUGCCAUAACAAUUGCACUCCAACAACUUAAAGGAUUUUUAGGCAUCAAUAAGUUUACAAAGAAGACGGAUAUUAUAUCCGUUAUGAAGUCAGUGUGGGGCUCUGCCCACCAUGGAGUAAGUGUUCUCACUCUCUGUGUGCAUGAAUUACCCAGCUUUAAGUUGACACCGGGUGCUCAAAAUUUCCAAUAUUUUCUGUUGCAGUGGAAUUGGCAGACAAUUGUAAUAGGAACAACAUUUUUAGCCUUUCUUCUAUUUGCCAAGUACAUUGUAAGACACCCGACUUCCGAGUUUCAUCCAAUGUAUUUUACAUUUUUAAAUGAUUUUCGGCUUCAUUAGCAAUUCUAACACUGUGAGGUGCAGGGGAAGAAGAAUAAGAAACUCUUUUGGAUACCAGCUAUUGCUCCACUGGUCUCCGUUAUUCUGUCUACAUUCUUCGUGUAUAUUACGCAUGCAGAGAAGAGAGGAGUACAAAUUGUAAGCCCUUUUUUUGGCUAAUUUCAUUUCGUAACACUGUAAUCAGCUGUAAUUAUUUUGUACUAAUAUGCGUUUGGCAUAACCAGGUUAAACAUAUCGAGAAAGGAAUUAAUCCCUCAUCCGUGAAUCAGAUUUAUUUUACUGGUGAUUAUCUUUUGAAGGGUUUUAGGAUUGGCAUUGUGGCUGGCAUGAUUGCAUUGACAGUAAGCUAGUUUCGUAGAUUUUCCUUGGUCAAAAAUUUCUUGAGAACUCAUUCAAUUUUUCUCCAUUUGUUUUAUGUAUAUUCACUUUUUUCAUUAAUACUUAUUAGGAAGCUGUUGCAAUUGGAAGAACUUUUGCUUCCAUGAAAGACUAUCAACUAGAUGGAAACAAAGAAAUGGUUGCUCUUGGAGCAAUGAAUGUAGUCGGCUCUAUGACAUCCUGUUACGUGGCGACAGGUGAAAAUUGAUAGCAGUAAUGGAAUUAUAUUUUAUCGAUCAGCUGCAGUAGAGAAUGAUAUAUUUUUUGUUAUUCAAAGUUUAUUUUGGCCACUUGCAGGUUCCUUCUCCCGUUCCGCAGUGAAUUACAUGGCUGGAUGCCAAACAGCAGUUUCCAAUAUCAUCAUGUCCUUUGUUGUAUUCUUAACGUUAAUGUUUAUCACGCCUCUUUUUGAGUACACCCCGAAUGCAAUCCUCUCGUCCAUUAUUAUCUCUGCAGUCAUCGGCUUAAUUGAUUGUGAUGCAGCAAUUUUGAUUUGGAAAACUGAUAAAUUCGACUUUGUUGCUUGUAUGGGAGCCUUUUUCGGGGUUGUUUUUGCCUCUGUCGAGAUUGGCCUCUUAAUUGCGGUGAGAAUAUGCCUCUCUCAUUUGAAGUUUGUUAUUAAGAUUUGUACUAAAUGCAUUAAAUUCUGAUAAUAGGUCUCAAUAUCUUUCGCCAAAUUACUCUUACAAGUUACAAGGCCAAGGACAGCAAUCCUUGGAAAAAUUCCCAGGACAAAUGUUUAUAGGAAUAUCCUACAAUAUCCUGAGGCAACGAAGGUCCCGGGUGUGUUAAUCGUGAGGGUUGAUUCGGCAAUUUACUUUUCUAACUCUAACUAUAUAAGGGAGAGGUAAUAUGUCUUCCCAUUUAAUUCUCUUCUGCAAAUCUUAAUUCUCUCUACUUUUAUGUUGUUUUGAUUGAAAUUUUGAAUAGUCUGGCAAGGUGCAAAUUUUGUCUCUAAAGUUUCGUAUCGUAACCUAAGUUUUAUCUCAUUUGAGUUGUAAAAUUUUCAUGUUUUCAGGAUAAUAAGGUGGCUAACCGACGAGGAAGAGCAACUGAAAAGGGCUGGCCUUCCUGAGAUUCAAUUUUUGAUAGUCGAAAUGUCACGUAAGUACUUUCUUACCUCGUCCAACAAUUUCUGAGCAUACUAUUGCACUUUUUUUGAAUGAUACGAUCUCUCGUGAAUUUUCAUUCUCCGCAGCCGUUACUGACAUCGACACCAGCGGCAUCCAUGCAUUGGAAGAACUGUACAGAAGUCUUCAAAAG
This 2557-nucleotide long non-coding RNA is filed under the name Olea europaea (common olive). Its description in RNAcentral is "long non-coding RNA (OEUR_LNC001638)". The record is from RNAcentral. Lineage: Eukaryota; Viridiplantae; Streptophyta; Magnoliopsida; Lamiales; Oleaceae.